UACAGAGGGGGCAAGCGUUAUUCGGAAUUAUUGGGCGUAAAGGGCGCGUAGGCGGCCGUGCAAGUGGAAGGUGAAAUCCCUCGGCUCAACCGAGGAACUGCCUUUCAAACUGCAUGGCUUGAGUCCGGGAGAGGUGAGUGGAAUUCCCAGUGUAGCGGUGAAAUGCGUAGAUAUUGGGAGGAACACCAGUGGCGAAGGCGGCUCACUGGACCGGAACUGACGCUGAGGCGCGAAAGCGUGGGAGCAAACGGG
Molecule: ribosomal RNA, 252 nt
Filed under: uncultured bacterium
Lineage: Bacteria
Description: partial 16S ribosomal RNA
Rfam family: Bacterial small subunit ribosomal RNA
Source: RNAcentral